UAAAUCCGAGAUAGAAUGAGAAUUAGCCAACGAGGUCUAAAUGAAAGUUGAAGAUCUCAUUAAUAGGAACUCAACAGUAAAAAGACAGACAAAAAUGGAGCUCGUAUGCAAAAGUUACGGACGAAGCUUGGAGACUACUUUACUAUACACUUCCUAUAAAUACAAGGGUGAACUCCUCAUAUUUUCUUCACACCAUAAGCCUUUCUUUCUCUCUCUAACUUCUCUCUAGCCUCCCUAAACCCCUCCCAAGUCUACGGAACCUCCCUAGCACGAGAAGAAAGCCCCGGAGCGCCCGACGGCUCCGAGAAGAAAAGCUUUCGGCUCGGAAACGCUGCUCCAGCGAAGCCUGGUUUUUAAUAAAAACCCGCUGUUUCGUCAAGGGAUAAUUGUUUUAAGAGUAACGAAGUGCUGUCCGAGUGCCGACUCACCACCUUUCAGGUGACGAAGUGAAGUGACAUUACACUGAGAGAUUUAAAAGAGAUGUAGAUCAGUAGUGUAAAUCAUUGUACUUCGUUUUCAAAGGAAAUGAGUCGGCUUGAUCGCAGCGCAUCACACUAUAUUUUCGCACAUGAGGUCUUGGGGAUUACACUCUGAUAUUGUUUUAUGAUAACAUGUUUUGAUUAUUUCUACUUUGGUGUUUGACAUGAUAUGUUAUUAUGGAUGUUUUAUUACUUACGGUUUUAUAAUGACUUAUUUAAAAAUGAAAUUUUUGGUCUUGAAUUUUGAGAUGUUACAACUUAUAUGCUAAGUGUACCAUGUGGUACGCCUCCUGUACUGCCUAAGGACCAAAAUGCAACUUUUAUAAUAACAAGGGCAAUAAAAAAAUAUACCAGGAUUCAAGUGUUACACCACCUUCUGCAAUAUCAAGCAUUUCGAAAACAAAAUCGACAUGCCCGGAGAAAGACAA
Lactuca sativa (garden lettuce) is the source of this 907-nucleotide long non-coding RNA. RefSeq lists it as uncharacterized. The record is from RefSeq and is a predicted model, not a curated record. NCBI's taxonomy places the organism in Eukaryota, Viridiplantae, Streptophyta, Magnoliopsida, Asterales, Asteraceae.